Molecule: long non-coding RNA, 317 nt
Filed under: Trifolium pratense (red clover)
Lineage: Eukaryota; Viridiplantae; Streptophyta; Magnoliopsida; Fabales; Fabaceae
Description: long non-coding RNA (TPRA_LNC010910)
Source: RNAcentral
CAGGCCUUCAAAACGUUGUACCUUAUGCUGAAAACAAGAGAAAAUGGCCAAAAGCUAGGCCAAAUCAAAAAGCUUGGCCUUACAAAGGGGCCAAUUGGGGAAAGCCUAUCACCAAAGGCCUUUCGAUUCAGCAAAGGCUAAGUCCCCAAAACACUUUCAAACCAUCUGGGAGAGCACCUGUUAACCAAUGGGUGAGUGGACAGUACGUCACUUUCAAUCGAAGGAUGAUGGAAAAUGGAAGCUCUAGCAAUGUCAAUGUAAACAUUGUGGCUGAACCCAAGGGUUCAAAAGUGGUAGCUGGAAAGGAAACAGUGAAU